UCAAAGACACGAAAGCAUUCUCAUUGAAACAUUAAUACUACUUUCUUACCAAAAAACAUUAAUACUACUUGGCUAUUAUAUUGGCCCAUUUCUGCUUGAGAAGAGCUGCCCUAAACAAGACGCAUUUAGGCAUCUUCUAAGAACACGCAAUGGAACACCUAGUUCGACUUCAAAAGGUUAUUCCCUCCCACAAGAAAUUAUUCUCAGAGUGCAAGAUUUGUAGAAGACUUGUAGUACGACGAGAUCUUUUAUCCCAUGCAUGGCCGGUACGGAGAAGCAGUUCUUGCAAAGCCUCUUGGAGAGAACCUUCUUUUGCGGGUUAAAGAAAUUCCACUAUCAUUGUCUCUUCUAUAUUCCAUCACCAUUGUUUCAUUGACAGUAUCGUUCCAACGCCCACCUGUAAUCACCAAAAAGAAUGCCAACAAAUUAAGCGACCGGUGCUCUUACUGUUAGCUGCCUCUCUAUAUAUCAUCACAAAGGCCCCACUCGACGGGCAUGGAGAUGGUGUGAACUGUGGGUCCUAAACAAAGGUCUAGUUGUCCUUCCUUGCAAAACCUGAGACAACUGAAUAUAUGCCAAGUUUAACAUUAUCCAUGCAUUGCACCACUUUUUCAGGAGAAUGAGACAAAUUUUGUGGGAGAAAUUAACUAAGCUCUAGUUGCCCCCAUCUGCUUUGUUUCUGCUGAUAUCUUCAACAAUUUUACCUUGUAAAUAGCUUUUUGUAAAUUGCCUCGUA
RNAcentral lists this long non-coding RNA (736 nucleotides) under Elaeis guineensis (African oil palm). RNAcentral describes it as "long non-coding RNA (EGUI_LNC000646)". The record is from RNAcentral. Lineage: Eukaryota; Viridiplantae; Streptophyta; Magnoliopsida; Arecales; Arecaceae.